ACUCCCUGGGGGACUACUGUCAGGCCCUGGCCAACCACCCUGGGCAGUGUUGUCCCAUCUCAGGAUUGGACUUUCUCAGUUCCUGCAGAGGGCACAGCCUCCAGCCCAGGAGGGGCAGCACCAUGGUGCAGCCCGAGCUCUCCAUGGGCCUGGAGCAUCCCCUGCCAGCCCUGCACUCCCUCUUCUCCCAGGUCCCACUUUUCCAGUAUCAGCCAGCUGGUAGGCCCCCUCCUCCCUUCCCUAUGUGUCUCCUGGGUGGAAACUAGUGGCGGAUUGGGACAGGGAUGGUGCUUCCCUCAGGCCCACUUAGGGAGGGGACUGGCUCCCAGCCUGGUGCAGGUCCUCAGCUCUGCCUUUGUUGCCUCAGAGUGAGAAGGAUCAGUUAGUGCCCUGAAGGUGAAGGUAAGAGAUUGUCCUUGCUGUGUGGGAGGCUGUUCUAGGGAUGGAGGACUUGGCAGGUUCUCCCAGUCUGUCAGGCCUGGACAGCACUGUCCUGUCUCAGGACUCAGAAAGUCCAGUCCUGGGAUGGGACGGUGCUUCCCAGGGUGGGUGGCCAGGGUCUGACAGUAGUACCCCAGGGAGUGACCACAUCACCCAGCCAUGGUCCAGAGGGCCUGGACUGAGACCUGCUGAGUGCACUGAGGGUGCACCUGGAAUCCACUCCACCUGACAUCCCCGCAGCCCUCACAGGGCCUGACCUCCCAGCAUGCACCUGCCUCUGCCUGCACCCCAGCUGUCCACUCUGCCUGUUCCCUGACUUCCUCCAUUCUGUCCAGUAGGAUGAGCUGGUCUUGGGGGACAGCCUAUGUGCACAUUUGGUGGCAAGUAGAAGUGACACACCAUCCCUGGGAGUCACCAUAGUUCCUGCCAAACCCAGCCCCAGAACUCUGCCCCUGAGGUGGUUUUACUAAAUCCCAAACCCAGAACUGUGGUUGUGGCUCAGGGGUCAGCACCUGCUAGUGCCAGGACACUAUUGGGAGGCUGGGACCUGACCAAAACCCAUGGUGCCUGUGGCCUGAGGACAGUGUGUCUUGGGGCCAUAAGGCCAGGCCAACAAUGGCCAUUGUGUCAUAGGGGCUCAGCCCCAGUGUUUAUCCUUCCCUGGCUACUUCUGAUUCAGUCCCAUCAGGGCCCUGGAGCCCAAGACCCAGCAUCCAAGGUCCCCUCCAGGAAUCCUGGUGGCUCAGCUUACUUUAUUGUGUUUCAUCUGACAACAAAAAUGUCAGAUUGGAUGCACAGAAAAAUGACUGGAAGUGCUUAAUGACUAGAAGAAAUCUAGGAGCAGCAAGAAGGUAAUGUGGAGAGGGCAGGAACUCCAUGACUGAUAUCUGCAGAGCCAGGGGUACAGGCACCCAGUGCUGUGUCCUGGCACCACCUGUCUCUCUGAGGUUGAGUAGCACACUGUCCUUACCCAGAGGACAGCAGACCUGGUCACCAGGUUUCGGCCUGUCCCUGCAAGCAUCACAUUGCUGGAAGAGAAUCUCAUGCCAGAGCUGGCACCAUCCCUAGCUCAGGGGUUAGGGGUUGUCUCUUGGUGACCUAAAUGAAAAAAUAGGUCUAGAUCAGAUUUCCCGACGCUGAGCACUCAUCCACUCUUUGAAUCGUGGGAGGGGAGUCCCGGUCCUCGGCUGCUCCUCAAGGGAGACCCCUUUCAGGUAUGGGGCUGGGCAAGGUCAAUCCUGCUGGAUAUCUAGAAGGUGUAAACCAAGGACCUAGGAAAAUACCAGGUACAGACUUUCCACGCUCAUCCAGAGCAGGACAAACAGGCCAGGCGAUGUCAGGAGACCAGGUCUCCAGCUGGAGGGAACGUCAACCCUGCAGUGGGAGCAAGGGCCCAUUGCACAUCCUAGGCACAGAUGGUAACGUAGGCACCACAGGUAAGCUGGGCUUAGUACCCCUUCCUGGCUUCAGAAAGAAGCCAAACAAGGAGCUUUCUGCAGAAUGAAACCUCCUUUCCUUCCAGAAGCACUGCUGACUGGUGCUUGUUGUUUGUGGCAGUGAGCCCUUUGUUCAUUCUGCGGUUGGGCUGCUUUCUCCUCUGGGCCCUGCCCUGCAGAUCAGAAAGGAGAACAGUAAGAGGUCCCCAGCAAACAUCCAGAGAUGGCCCUGGAGAUAAGUCACCUUCUGAGAAACACGUCAUAUUCUAGGAGGGCUAAGGCAUUAACCUCACCCUGCAGGAAUCCAGUGACUAUAUUGCCGCCAGUGUACCCAUUCCUGAGGGGUGAUGCUUCUACAAGGCCUGUGACUUGGUGCACAACUUCAGACACCAUCAUCCUGAGCAAGUGGGCUUCUCCGGGAUCUUAAUUCAGGAGGUAGAAUGCAGCUUGAGAUCAACUGUCCGAUCAAAGAACUUGAACUUGAUCUGGAGUGCUUUGGGGAGCCAUGGAAGGUGCUGGAUAAAGGAGGGGCCAGUCAGAUACGUGUUAGAGAUGACUGUAGAAGGCUGACUGGAAUGAGUGAACAAGAGCAGACCAGGGAGGGAGCUUGUGGGGGAGGUCUGGAGAUGGCAAGGGAGGGAUCCUGCUUGGAUGAACAGUCUCCAGAGACUGUCUCAGGUUACAAUCAGGUGCCCUCAGAGCUAGUGUGUUCAGAGGUCUUGUCUCCAGGAUGAAAAUGGGAAGGAGUUGUCAGAUGAGGACGUGUAAAUGGAGGCUGGCCUGUUCAUGAAUGCCAGUGGUGGUCCUGGUGUGGGGCUACUAUGAGAACAGGGGUCUCUCCAUCCAGGGACAUGGUGGAUGGACCCUACAUCACUCCAUUCUGCCCUUUCCUUCCCUCCUCCCAUUCUACCGAGGGCCUCACUGCGUUGGCACUCUCCAUCCUCUGGUACUGAAGCAGCCAAGAGACACAAACCUGCCUGGCCACCUUUAGAAUAUGACAGCACAGCCAGUGGCCUCUACUGGAUCCUGUACAACCUCACAAGACCCCCAGACACCAGGAGUGCUGCUAGAACAUGGUGCAAGAGUCCUGAGGGACCACAGUCCUGAAGACAUUGAAUGUUUUUAGGUGAAAAAAACUGGGGCAAAGAGCAAUACAAGAGAGUUGCCGAAAUUCGUUCUGCUUGUCCAGGUUUGAAGCAAGCAGUCUGCACCUAGUGUCCUUGUCUGUAACCAUGGCACCCUGGUUUCUCACACAUCUCAUAAUGGAGUUCCACCUUGUGUCAAGCAUGGCACUGAGCAGUUUAUUUUAAGAACAUAAUUUGUAAUUAUGUAGAUUACUAAUUCUACUUCAAAAUGACACACAGUCUUCAUGUGAUAAAAGGAAACAAUUGGGAUCUCUACUAAGAUGUUGGCAGCCCGGCCAGCUGGUCUGGCCAUGGAUGUGACUUCAGGGGCUGGUUAUGCUUCAUGCACCUGCUUCUAGCUUCACUGUUGGGCCAGAUUUCAUCCCCACCCCAGCUCUGCAGCGCAGCUGCUUCUUGAUUCCUCCAUGGACCCUGCGUGAAAUUACCCCAUGUUUCCCUUUGUGCACCACUGAGGAAGGAAGCAUGAAGGACACACAGCCAUUUUGCAGACCCUGGUCACAGUGAAACAUUCCAUGGGAACUCGGGCUGUGAGAAACAUCCUUCCUAACCACAUGACUGCAGGAACAUCCUUAUCGCAUCCUCCCAGGCAAAGGUCCAACAGCCUGACUGCAGGGACAUCCUUGCCGUUUCCUGCUGGGCAGCAAGCUCUACCACCCAGACCCCUCCCUCCCAUCCCAUGAUUACCUCAGCCUGUGAGCGGCAGUUGGCGCUGGCACUAAGCUGGUUCACCCCUCCUCAGGGUUUUGUUGGCAAUAAAAGUGUUGCUGUUGAAGCCGCCAACUGUCUCUCUCUGUCU
Molecule: long non-coding RNA, 3818 nt
Filed under: Homo sapiens (human)
Lineage: Eukaryota; Metazoa; Chordata; Mammalia; Primates; Hominidae
Description: HSALNT0400655
Source: RNAcentral